This is a long non-coding RNA of Gallus gallus (chicken), 3958 nucleotides long. Lineage: Eukaryota; Metazoa; Chordata; Aves; Galliformes; Phasianidae. The record is from Ensembl.
CUGCGCUUGGGGCUGCCGGCCCGGCCCGCCGUGACGCGGGGCACGGCUCCGAGGGGCUCCGAUCGCUGUAUCCGGAGCUCCCCUCGUUUCGUGCGUCUCAAAAUGUCCGCGUGUCCCCUUCUGUAACGGCCCCCGUUCUGUCUUCGGGCUCCGUUUUAAAUUAACGCCUCGGCUGAAUCGAAAUGGCAAAAUUAGAUCACCCGGCGUCUAAUAAAGGCUGAUGAAAUGAAGUGGCUCGAGUCGUUCUUAGCGCUGCGCGGCGCGUACGGAAAGCACAGUUAUGUACGGCACCAACCUACACGACGAGGAAGAGGGGAUUUGUAACAGUUCAAGAGUCUGAAAGCAGAUGAAAACCGCCGUGGAUACACUGAGCUUCCCCGUUCGGCAGCGCCUCGUAACUUUCCUUGGUGCGCUUCAAAAUACAGCCACAGAAUCAAAAUGUUUUGAUGCUGAAAUAAAGGUUUUGUCUUUUAUUGAAUGUUUUAGAGCGCCUCCCAAAAUGGAAUCCAUUCCCUGGCUCAGGCCCGACCAGCAGCAGUACUACAGACAGCACUUAAUGAGAGCUCUCACAAACGCACACCCCGCUUCUCCUUACUGCUGAGAUCUGAUUUUUUCCUUGCUUAUCUGUGGCUUAACACGAAGCCCCGCUGGCCACAAGAGAAGAUGCGGGGUUGUUGCUGUUUGGUGAGACGUGCUCAAGCCGGUUGUAAGAAUUCCUGCAGCAGCAAUAAAUGCUCCAUUAAUUUGGGGGGAAUUCAGGGCAUUUUUAUUUUUUUGCCUGUUGCAAUUCAGCAGAGGAUGUUUUUGUUACAUGGAGAAAAAUACACCCAGCUCAGAUUUUUAUAGUCCGUAGUGCUGUGCUUUCAAAUAAUUCCCCCUCUUCCGUGUGAUUUGUCACCUUGCAUUAUCCUUAAGUACAAACGCAUCGCUGCUGUUUCAUCACUGAGAUUUAAUGUUUUUUAUGAGACGUUUUCACUCUGAAAAAAAACCAUAAAUCUCUAUUUAAGGGAAGAAAAAAGGAAUUAUUUUCUUUCUUUGGGUAUAAUAACCAUUUGAGUAAAAAAACGAAAAUCUCAGAUUACUUUAAUCUGGUAAUUUGGUUGUUCUAACGCCGGUAGCACUGCGUAUUCUUUUUGCAGAUACGAAGGGUCUCACAGCACUUUGUGACUUUCAGAUGGGAAUGCUCGUGUGCGUUCACUGAAAUCAUGUUGUUAAUAGAAAGAUUACUAGAAUUUGCUGCUAAUAAAGCUGAGACAUAGAACUGAGUCAAUUAUGAAGUGCUCCAAAGGUUUUUACAUUUCUCCUGCUUGCUGCCGUGGCCUGCUUUCUUCCUUAUUAUUUUUAUUUUCAAUCUCCCUGUUUUUCCCUUCUUCAGUAGGUGUAAAUAUCCGAAUACAGAUCUAUUAGAGCGAAUGUCCUUCGAUCACUGUUUGCUUUUAGGAAAUACGACUGUAGUAUCUUUGAUUUCUCCUUGAUUUUUGUGUAGGGUUUUUUUGUUUGUUUGUUUGUUAUUGUUUUUAAUUCGUUUUCUUUCCCCAUAUUGGUUUGCUGGUGUAGUUUAACAAUGCUGUAACCAGAAAGCACGCUGCUUGCUGGCUGCGGCUCUCGAUGUGAAAGGCUUUCUGUUUCUUGUGAAAUCUGGGCUUUUCUUUAUAGACAAAGGGAAGUAUUUAUGGUUUGUAAAUCGCCAAGCCGGACAAUGUAGCUAAAUAUUUGAAGCACAAUAUUGGGGGCUGGGGGGCUGAGAACAACGUAAAGCAUUAACCAAGCUUCCUUGGUUGAUUUGUUUUGUUUCAUUUUCCCCCUCCUCCCCCCUCCCAAUGGGAAUGAUCACCACCAGUUGCUCAUCUUUUUUUGUGAGUGUUGGUUCUUACUCUUGAAGCCAAGCGUUAAUUUUUCAAGGGUGAGAAGAGAGGGAUGUUACUAUGGAGCCAGCCAACUUUUUGUUUCAUUGUUACCGUCUAUAUUCUCUAUCUGCAGAAAGAACCGACUGUGCCAAAAUACAAUACUACCGUGAGUAAAUGCCUCCUGCACUUUUAAAUAAUAACCUACAAUUCAACAAAACAGCUUCACAUCAGAAUGGUAUUAAAUACUCACUUGUUUACGCCUCGUACCUGAAAUGCAUCCUCUCUGCACGCUGCAUUGGUGACCCUACUGAGCCUGCCACUGGAGAGCUCCUUACGGCUGGUGUAGCUGGUGUCACCUGCCCACACCAGGCACCAAAUUCCAAGCCGUGUGUUUCAAUCCUGAGCCUUUCUUUACAUUUUUCAGUGCACCCUUUGGUACAGAAUGCAGAUGUCUUCCCACUCAGCCCAAAAUAAACCACUUCUCCUUUUGCUUUCUUCUCACGAUGGUGGAAAGCAGUGUAGAAUUAGAAAUCUAUACUACUCAAAGUACCACCAGCAUUGGCAAGUUCAUGUUUUAUAAAAGUAUGAGGAUCGGUUCACCUCUAAUAUACUUAUUAGCAAUCUUCCACAGGCAGAAGAGCUAAAUCCAAGUCACUUAUAAAAGUGGCACUGUGUUUUUUUUAUGCAGCAUUUGUGUGUACAAAAUAAACAAUAAAUUAUAAACUAUACAAUCAAGCUUCUGAAGUUAGCUCUAUCUGCUAUUUGUAUUUUCAGUAGUAAAUGAGUCUGGCUGAAAUUCAUUCUCUGCAGCCCAUUGUUACCCAAGUACAUAUAAACUGCAGCAACUGUGACAUUCUUUCAGUUUCGCUAUUAGAUCUCUAAAUGGACACAAAAAAGUCCCUUCUACAGAGAAACUAAGGAUUAGACCUAUGCAGUUCCUACUGAAUAAAGGACUUCUAUUAGUUUAAGGGUUUUUUCCCCCCGUUUAUUUCAAGUCAUUUAGUUUGCGCCCCUGUAUUUCAUAAAAGACUUUUGAUUAAAGUUACCAAAUCAGUUUGACAGUACAAUUUCCCAUGCUGAAUACGCUGCCGAUCUAUCUGGACCAUUACAACAAAAAGCCUGAGCUGCUGUACUACAUUUGGCCCUUGGGCUGCUCUUCACAGAGCAUGUGGGAUCUUUGCCAUCUUUGGUUUCACGUCCAUGCGACAUCCCAGAAGUUUUCUCAGAAUUUUAAGGAUUAUGGUUUGCUUCUUCCUUUGUUUGUUUAAGCAAGACUUCCAAAAAAACAAAUAUAUGGGGGCGUAUUUUAGAGGAGGCGUACUCAAAAACAAAUAAGGAGGAGAAGAAAAGUGUGUUUACACUGUUGCUUCCUACAUUGGCAGUUAUUUUCUUAGGUCACUCCUAGAAAACUUUCAAAACCAAUUGCAGUUACUGUACUUCCUAGUGGUAUCGCUGUGGAACUUCCACAAAGUUAAGGCAGUGGACUGUCACAAAUUAACAUCAAUGUAAUAACUCGAGAGAUUCUGCCACGCUGUUAUCCGAGAUAUGGUCUGAUACACUUGUAAUUACAGGAAAGGCUGAAGGAGAAAUCUUUCAGUGUUUGCAGAUAUGCACAGUGCAGUUUAGAUAGAAUCAGAGGAGGCCGUGAGAAACAUGGGAGAUCUGCCCAGAGAAGGGUGGAAGACCAACGCUGGUAAAACUUUGUGAUGUUACAUUUAAAAUGAUCUGUCGGAAGAAGUGAGUCAGUUAUGUUCCUCAUGGGCUCCUAAGCCAAGCUAAAUUUGAUAUCUGGUCAUAAAUCUUUUAAAAAGACCGCUCUAUCGUGUACUCGCCACUGAGAAUAUGGGAUUUUAUUUUUCCCUAGAACUCUAACGUGAAACUGAUGGCACACCUUGUGUUGGAAUUCUGUGUUGCCUUAUCCCCAAAGAAUCACAGUUCAGAGGUACGUGAGGAAAGCAGUUAGGAUCAAGAAGAAGUAUUCUGGGAAAUAGAAUUAAGUACUGGGGAAGUAGAAUAAAAGAUGUGAAGGAGGUAAGGUAUAGCACGGCAUGCCAAAUACCUGUGUUAAAGACAAACCAGGGGCUUCUGUAAACUCUGGGACGUGGUUCAAG